Molecule: ribosomal RNA, 706 nt
Filed under: uncultured organism
Description: bacterial SSU rRNA
Rfam family: Bacterial small subunit ribosomal RNA
Source: RNAcentral
AGUCCUAGCUAUAAACGAUGGAUGCUAGGUGUGGGGUCGAGAAGACUCGUGCCGGAGCCAACGCGAUAAGCAUCCCGCCUGGGGACUACGGCCGCAAGGCUAAAACUCAAACGAAUUGACGGGGCCCCGCACAAGCAGCGGAGCGUGUGGUUCAAUUCGAUGCUACACGAAGAACCUUACCUGGGUUUGACAUGGAGGUGGUAGGGAAGCGAAAGCGGACCGACCCUUCGGGGAGCCUUCACAGGUGCUGCAUGGCUGUCGUCAGCUCGUGCCGUGAGGUGUCGGGUUAAGUCCCGUAACGAGCGCAACCCUUGCCCUUAGUUACAAGUGUCUAAGGGGACUGCCGGCGGUAAGCCGGAGGAAGGUGGGGAUGACGUCAAGUCAGCAUGGCCCUUAUAUCCAGGGCUACACACACGCUACAAUGGUCGGUACAAAGGGCAGCGAAGCCGCGAGGUGAAGCGAAUCCCAUCAAAGCCGAUCGUAGUUCGGAUUGCAGGCUGCAACUCGCCUGCAUGAAGCUGGAGUUGCUAGUAACCGCGCGUCAGCCAUAGUGCGGUGAAUACGUUCCCGGGGCUUGUACACACCGCCCGUCACGUCAUGGGAGUCGGUAACGCCUGAAGCCGGUGGCUCAACUCGCAAGAGGGAGUGCCGUCUAAGGCGGGGCUGGCAACUGGGACGAAGUCGUAACAAGGUAACCAAGGGCGAA